This 1059-nucleotide ribosomal RNA is filed under the name Bacillus sp. (in: firmicutes). Its description in RNAcentral is "bacterial SSU rRNA". It matches the Rfam family "Bacterial small subunit ribosomal RNA", at positions 49 to 1091 of the family's 1533-position model. Lineage: Bacteria; Bacillati; Bacillota; Bacilli; Caryophanales; Bacillaceae. The record is from RNAcentral.
CUAUAACUGCAGUCGAGCGGACAGAAGGGAGCUUGCUCCCGGAUGUUAGCGGCGGACGGGUGAGUAACACGUGGGUAACCUGCCUGUAAGACUGGGAUAACUCCGGGAAACCGGAGCUAAUACCGGAUAGUUCCUUGAACCGCAUGGUUCAAGGAUGAAAGACGGUUUCGGCUGUCACUUACAGAUGGACCCGCGGCGCAUUAGCUAGUUGGUGGGGUAAUGGCUCACCAAGGCGACGAUGCGUAGCCGACCUGAGAGGGUGAUCGGCCACACUGGGACUGAGACACGGCCCAGACUCCUACGGGAGGCAGCAGUAGGGAAUCUUCCGCAAUGGACGAAAGUCUGACGGAGCAACGCCGCGUGAGUGAUGAAGGUUUUCGGAUCGUAAAGCUCUGUUGUUAGGGAAGAACAAGUGCGAGAGUAACUGCUCGCACCUUGACGGUACCUAACCAGAAAGCCACGGCUAACUACGUGCCAGCAGCCGCGGUAAUACGUAGGUGGCAAGCGUUGUCCGGAAUUAUUGGGCGUAAAGGGCUCGCAGGCGGUUUCUUAAGUCUGAUGUGAAAGCCCCCGGCUCAACCGGGGAGGGUCAUUGGAAACUGGGAAACUUGAGUGCAGAAGAGGAGAGUGGAAUUCCACGUGUAGCGGUGAAAUGCGUAGAGAUGUGGAGGAACACCAGUGGCGAAGGCGACUCUCUGGUCUGUAACUGACGCUGAGGAGCGAAAGCGUGGGGAGCGAACAGGAUUAGAUACCCUGGUAGUCCACGCCGUAAACGAUGAGUGCUAAGUGUUAGGGGGUUUCCGCCCCUUAGUGCUGCAGCUAACGCAUUAAGCACUCCGCCUGGGGAGUACGGUCGCAAGACUGAAACUCAAAGGAAUUGACGGGGGCCCGCACAAGCGGUGGAGCAUGUGGUUUAAUUCGAAGCAACGCGAAGAACCUUACCAGGUCUUGACAUCCUCUGACAACCCUAGAGAUAGGGCUUUCCCUUCGGGGACAAAGUGACAGGGGGUGCAUGGUUGUCGUCAGCUCGUGUCGUGAAAUGUUGGGGUAAGUCCCGCA